This is a non-coding RNA of Pangasianodon gigas (Mekong giant catfish), 73 nucleotides long. The record is from the annotation of a GenBank genome assembly. Lineage: Eukaryota; Metazoa; Chordata; Actinopteri; Siluriformes; Pangasiidae.
GUUGUGGUGGCUCAGUGGUUAAGGCUUUGUGUUACACACCAGAAGGUUGUGUGUUCAAAUCCCAGCACUAACA